Long non-coding RNA from Lutra lutra (Eurasian river otter), 191 nucleotides. RefSeq lists it as uncharacterized. The transcript has 2 exons. Lineage: Eukaryota; Metazoa; Chordata; Mammalia; Carnivora; Mustelidae. The record is from RefSeq and is a predicted model, not a curated record.
GAUUUUCUCCCAAAACUUGGAGAGAUUACAGUUUCAGGAUUGGCAGGUGUGGUUUCAGCAAGAAAAGGUUCUAGGUCUAAGAAAAUUGCUUAUCCACUGGGACUGGCCUCUUUAGGAGCAACUGUUUGCUACCCAGUUCAGUCAGUAAUAAUUGCAAAGUUAGGAAAUUGUGCUGCAACAGAACUACCUGC